ACCUGGCUGGCUCAAUUGGAAGAGCAUGUGACUCUUGAUCACAGGGUUGUGAGUUUGAGCCCCAUGUUGGGUG
RNAcentral lists this transfer RNA (73 nucleotides) under Ailuropoda melanoleuca (giant panda). It matches the Rfam family "tRNA". From Rfam's summary of the family: Transfer RNA (tRNA) molecules are approximately 80 nucleotides in length. Their secondary structure includes four short double-helical elements and three loops (D, anti-codon, and T loops). Lineage: Eukaryota; Metazoa; Chordata; Mammalia; Carnivora; Ursidae. The record is from Rfam by way of RNAcentral.